RNAcentral lists this small nuclear RNA (106 nucleotides) under Harpegnathos saltator (Jerdon's jumping ant). Lineage: Eukaryota; Metazoa; Arthropoda; Insecta; Hymenoptera; Formicidae. The record is from RNAcentral.
GUACUUGCUUCGGCAAUACAUAUACUAAAAUUAGAACGACACAGGGAAGAUUGGCAUAACCCCUGCGCAGGAUGACACACAAAAUCGUGAAGCGUUCCACAUUUAA